RNAcentral lists this ribosomal RNA (427 nucleotides) under uncultured bacterium. RNAcentral describes it as "partial 16S ribosomal RNA". It matches the Rfam family "Bacterial small subunit ribosomal RNA", at positions 354 to 796 of the family's 1533-position model. The record is from RNAcentral.
GUGGGGAAUAUUGGGCAAUGGGGGAAACCCUGACCCAGCAACGCCGCGUGAAGGAAGAAGGCUUUCGGGUUGUAAACUUCUUUUAUGAGGGACGAAGAAGUGACGGUACCUCAUGAAUAAGCCACGGCUAACUACGUGCCAGCAGCCGCGGUAAUACGUAGGUGGCAAGCGUUGUCCGGAUUUACUGGGUGUAAAGGGCGCGUAGGCGGGAUAGCAAGUCAGGUGUGAAAUCCGGGGGCUUAACCCUCGAACUGCACUUGAAACUGUUAUGCUUGAGUGAGGGAGAGGCAAGCGGAAUUCCUAGUGUAGCGGUGAAAUGCGUAGAUAUUAGGAGGAACACCAGUGGCGAAGGCGGCUCACUGGCUCGAUACUGACGCUGAGGUGCGAAAGAGUGGGGAGCAAACAGGAUUAGAUACCCGAGUAGUCC